AGAGGGGAGGAUGAAUUGGGUUUUCUAAAUUUUAAGGCCUCAAAUUAAUUUUUAAGUGAAUGUGGUUUGGCCUAUGUGAUAAUAUAGGUGUAGUGUAAGCAAUAGUAGUAAAACUCUAAACAAUUAUGAUUAAGUCACUUUUAGAAUUUAAGCUAGAGCAAUUGCUUAAGUAAAGAAAAUAAAUCAAGAAGCACACAAUGCAAACACAAUCAAGUAUAGUGGUUCGGUGCACCCCAAAGCACCUACGUCCACUGCCCAAACGUUCUUUUGGAAAUUCACUAUAAUCCCUCGGAUUACAGUUGGAUUGUUUUCCACGCACACAAUCCAAAAAUUCUUACAAUUGGUUUUAUGGGAUCACCAAUUAAUCUAACCGUCGGUUUUACGGGC
RNAcentral lists this long non-coding RNA (387 nucleotides) under Phoenix dactylifera (date palm). RNAcentral describes it as "long non-coding RNA (PDAC_LNC014393)". The record is from RNAcentral. Lineage: Eukaryota; Viridiplantae; Streptophyta; Magnoliopsida; Arecales; Arecaceae.